Molecule: long non-coding RNA, 827 nt
Organism: Bufo bufo (common toad)
Lineage: Eukaryota; Metazoa; Chordata; Amphibia; Anura; Bufonidae
Exons: 3
Source: RefSeq, a predicted model, not a curated record
CAGGUGUACACAGGAGCCCUGCGGAGUAAUAUCACCCUGCAGAGUAUACACUGACCAUACAGAGGUCAGAUACCAGGUGUACACAGGAGCCCUGCGGAGUAAUAUCACCCUGCAGAGUAUACACUGACCAUACAGAGGUCAGAUACCAGGUGUACACAGGAGCCCUGCGGAGAAAUAUCACCCUGCAGAGUAUACACUGACCAUACAGAGGUCAGAUACCAGGUGUACACAGGAGCCCUGCAGAGUAAUAUCACCCUGCAGAGUAUACACUGACCAUACAGAGGUCAGAUACUAGGUGUACACAGGAGCCCUGCGGAGUAAUAUCACCCUGCAGAGUGUACACUGACCAUACAGAGGUCAGAUACCAGGUGUACACAGGAGCCCUGCAGAGUAAUAUCACCCUGCAGAGUAUACACUGACCAUACAGAGGUCAGAUACCAGAUGUACACAGGAGCCCUGCGGAGUAAUGUCACCCUACAGAGUAUACACUGACCAUACAGAGGUCAGAUACCAGGUGUACACAGGAGCCCUGCGGAGUAAUAUCACCCUGCAGAGUGUACACUGACCAUACAGAGGUCAGAUACCAGGUGUACACAGGAGCCCUGCGGAGUAAUAUCACCCUGCAGAGUGUACACUGACCAUACAGAGGUCAGAUACCAGGUGUACACAGGAGCCCUGCAGAGUAAUAUCACCCUGCAGAGUAUACACUGACCAUACAGAGGUCAGAUACCAGGUGUACACAGGAGCCCUGCGGAGUAAUAUCACCCUGCAGAGUAUACACUGACCAUACAGAGGUCAGAUACCAGGUGUACACAGGAGCCCUGCGG